This 752-nucleotide ribosomal RNA is filed under the name uncultured bacterium. Its description in RNAcentral is "bacterial SSU rRNA". It matches the Rfam family "Bacterial small subunit ribosomal RNA", at positions 56 to 800 of the family's 1533-position model. The record is from RNAcentral.
UGCAGUCGACGGUAACAGGAGAAGCUUGCUUUCUUGCUGACGAGUGGCGGACGGGUGAGUAAUGCUUGGGAAUCUGGCUUAUGGAGGGGGAUAACUACGGGAAACUGUAGCUAAUACCGCGUAAUAUCUUCGGAUUAAAGGGUGGGACUUUCGGGCCACCUGCCAUAAGAUGAGCCCAAGUGGGAUUAGGUAGUUGGUGGGGUAAAGGCCUACCAAGCCGACGAUCUCUAGCUGGUCUGAGAGGAUGACCAGCCACACUGGAACUGAGACACGGUCCAGACUCCUACGGGAGGCAGCAGUGGGGAAUAUUGCACAAUGGGGGGAACCCUGAUGCAGCCAUGCCGCGUGAAUGAAGAAGGCCUUCGGGUUGUAAAGUUCUUUCGGUGAUGAGGAAGGUGUUUGUUUUAAUAGAACAAGCAAUUGACGUUAGUCACAGAAGAAGCACCGGCUAACUCCGUGCCAGCAGCCGCGGUAAUACGGAGGGUGCGAGCGUUAAUCGGAAUGACUGGGCGUAAAGGGCACGCAGGCGGUGACUUAAGUGAGAUGUGAAAGCCCCGAGCUUAACUUGGGAAUUGCAUUUCAUACUGGGUCGCUAGAGUAUUUUAGGGAGGGGUAGAAUUCCACGUGUAGCGGUGAAAUGCGUAGAGAUGUGGAGGAAUACCGAAGGCGAAGGCAGCCCCUUGGGAAUAUACUGACGCUCAUGUGCGAAAGCGUGGGGAGCAAACAGGAUUAGAUACCCUGGUAGUCCACGC